RNAcentral lists this long non-coding RNA (1260 nucleotides) under Taeniopygia guttata (zebra finch). RNAcentral's name for it is "lncRNA (ENSTGUG00000026001.1)". Lineage: Eukaryota; Metazoa; Chordata; Aves; Passeriformes; Estrildidae. The record is from RNAcentral.
AUGCCCAAAAUUCAACAAAUACCCAAAUCCCCAAAAUCCCAAAAAUCCACACCAAAAUACCCAAAAAUCCCCAAAGUUCCACACCUAAAAUCCCCAAAAUUCCCAUUUUUAUCCAAAAUUCCCAUUUUUUUCCCCAGAAUUCCUUUUUUCCUCCCAAAACCCCCAUUUUUCCCCCAAAAUCCCCAUUUUUUCCACAAAUCCCCUUUUUUUCUCCUAAAAUUUCCUUUUUUUUCCCCAAAAUCCCCAUUUUUCCCCCAAAAUUCCCAUUUUUAUCCAAAAUCCCCAUUUUUUCCCCAAAAUUCCCAUUUUUCCUCCAAAACACCCAUUUUUCCCCUAAAAUUCCAAUUUUUAUCCCAAAAUCCCCAUUUUUUGCCCCAAAAUCCCCAUUUGUCCCCCAGAAUUCCCAUUUUUCCCCAAAAUUCCAAUUUUUUUGCCCCAAAAUCCCCAUUCCCUCAAAAUUCCAUAUUUUCACCCUCAAAAUUCCCAAUUUUCCCUCCAGAACCACCAUUUUUUUCCCAAAAUUCUCAAUUUUUCCCUCAAAAUUCCCAUUUAUUCCCAAAAUCCCCAUUUUUCCCUCCUAAAAAAAAAAUCCCUUUUUCCCCCAAAUCCCAAUUUUACCCCCCAAAAUCCCAAUUUUUCCACCCAAAAUUCCCAUUUUUCCCCCAAAAUCCCCAUUUUUUUCACCCAGAAUUCCCAUUUUUUCCCAAAUUUCCCAUUUUUCCCCCAAAAUCCCCAUUUUUCACCCCAAAAUCCCCAUUUUUUUCACCCAGAAUUCCCAUUUUUUUCCCAAAAUUCCCAUUUUUCCCACCUGUGUCUGUGCUCGCGGCUCCGGCUCCGCUUCUUCCGGCUGCUGAAAUUGGGGAAAAAACGGGAAAAUUUGGGAAAAAUCCCAGAAAAUUCCCAAAAAUCCCAGAAAAACUCGGGGGAAAUUCGAAAAAUUUGGGAAAAAUCCGGAAAAUUUGGGAAAAAUCCGAGAAAAUUUGGGAAAAAUCCAGAAAAAUUUUAAAAAUCCACAAAAAAAUCAGGGAAAAUCCGAAGGGAAAUUCCCAAAAAUCCCAAAGGAAAAAUUGGGAAAAUUUGGAAAAAUUGGGAAAAUUUUGGGAAAAAUACACAAAAAAUUGGGAAAAUCCAGAAAAAAAAAAAUCUGUGGAAAAAAGGGGAAAUUCAAUAAAAAUUGGGGAAAAUUUGGAAAGAAAAAAUAGGAAAAAUUGGAAAAAAUUUAGGAAAAUUAAAAUACAAAAAUCCAGGAAAAAUUGGUGA